AGAGUUUGAUCCUGGCUCAGGAUGAACGCUGGCGGCGUGCUCAACACAUGCAAGUCGAACGAUAUAGUGGCGAACGGGUGAGUAACACGUAAGCAACCUACCCUUAAGACCGGCACAACUCGCCGAAAGGCGAGCUAAUUCCGGAUGUGGUUUAAGAAAGACAUCUUUCUUUAAUUAAACCCAGCAAUGGGCUUAGGGAUGGGCUUGCGGCUUAUCAGCUAGUUGGUGAGGUAACGGCUCACCAAGGCGAUGACGAGUAGCUGGUCUGAGAGGAUGAUCAGUCACAAGGGCACUGAGACAUGGGCCCUACUCCUACGGGAGGCAGCAGUGAGGAAUUUUCUGCAAUGGGCGCAAGCCUGACAGAGCGACGCCGUGUGUGGGAUGAAGUCUUUCGGGAUGUAAACCACUGUCAGAGGGGACGAUAUUGACGGUACCCUCAGAGGAAGCACCGGCUAACUACGUGCCAGCAGCCGCGGUAAUACGUAGGGUGCAAGCGUUAUCCGGAAUCAUUGGGCGUAAAGGGCGUGUAGGCGGUUUGUUAAGUCAGAUGUUAAAUUUCCGGGCUCAACCCGGAUCCGCAUUUGAUACUGGCAGACUAGAGAAUGGUAGAGGUAAGCGGAACUUCCGGUGUAGCGGUGAAAUGCGUAGAUAUCGGAAGGAACACCAGUGGCGAAGGCGGUUUACUGGGCCAUUUCUGACGUUGAGACGCGAAAGCCAGGGGAGCAAACGGGAUUAGAUACCCUGGUAGUCC
This 751-nucleotide ribosomal RNA is filed under the name uncultured bacterium. Its description in RNAcentral is "bacterial SSU rRNA". It matches the Rfam family "Bacterial small subunit ribosomal RNA", at positions 8 to 796 of the family's 1533-position model. The record is from RNAcentral.